CGCGUAGGCGGCAUUACAAGUCAGAUGUGAAAGCCCCGGGCUUAACUCGGGAAUUGCAUCUGAAACUGUUUUGCUUGAGUCCUGGAGGGGGUAGUGGAAUUCCCAGUGUAGCGGUGAAAUGCGUAGAUAUUGGGAGGAACACCUGCGGCGAAGGCGGCUACCUGGACAGUGACUGACGCUGAGGCGCGAAAGCUAGGGGAGCGAACGG
This 208-nucleotide ribosomal RNA is filed under the name uncultured Acidobacteriota bacterium. Its description in RNAcentral is "uncultured Acidobacteria bacterium partial 16S ribosomal RNA". It matches the Rfam family "Bacterial small subunit ribosomal RNA", at positions 568 to 775 of the family's 1533-position model. The record is from RNAcentral. Lineage: Bacteria; Pseudomonadati; Acidobacteriota.